AUUGGACCCAAAUGUCAUAUAAUUUUAAUUGGGGAUUUUUAUAAAAUUAAGAAAGUUUGGCUAAAGGGCUUAUUUGAAAAGAAUUUUAGUAUUUUGGGUCCAAGUAUAAUUUUUAAAAAUAAAUAAAUAAAUAAAUAAAUAAAAUAAAAAUAAAAUAAAAGGCUUCAGCCUUUCAUUUUACCCGAGCCCCUCUCUCUCUCUCCUCAGAAACUCUCUCCCUCUCUCUCUCUCUCUCUCUCUCUCUCUCUCUCUCUCUCUCCUCUGCGUAUUACUGUUGCCGACGACGCAGGAGUACUUUCCGGCCACCAUUUUUAGCCACGCGCCGGACCGUUGGAUUCAGAGGCCUCCGAACUAUCGACCCACGCGGGAAUCUAGAGCUCACUCGCCGAUUAAACGCCUCAACCACUCGAUUUAAGUUCGGCCACCCCGCGACUUCAAAGUUGCGAUUCGGCCACCUCGGGCAUCCGUUUGCCGAUCCGUCACCACCAUCGUGUUCCUCGUGUUGUGGGCUUCAAAACCCAAUAACUUGUUCCUACAUCUACCAUAGUUGGGUGGUGGGCCCACCACGAGCCACCGCGAUCCACCGUAGACCGACGGUCGAAACUUAGUGUUCGAGGUUCCGAAGUACGUUUUGAGUCUCAGAAAAUCAUCGUUUGACUUAUUGUGGAACCCGAUCAUUUUGGAUUUGUAUGGAUUUGAUUGAUUGACUCUUGGUGAGCCGUUUUAAAAUAAGCUAAGGACCUAAGGUGUGGCUUUAGCUGUUGAGCAACUUGUGGAGCACGGACUCAGUAGCAAUGCAAUAAUGGUUUAGAGUUUUCAUAUGGCUGCCUUAAAUUUAAAGUAUUCAUACGUGUAAUAAUUUCUUCUAAUAAGUUUAUAUAAAAGUUUUAAAUUUUUCUGUAUUUCUUCGUAUCAUUUUAUUUAAUUCUUUUGGUCAAGUGCCUUACAUACUCGUAAACCCUAGAAUUACGAGUAUGUGGCAGACGUACCCUACCUUAGGGACGUUA
Humulus lupulus (European hop) is the source of this 1007-nucleotide long non-coding RNA. RefSeq lists it as uncharacterized. NCBI's taxonomy places the organism in Eukaryota, Viridiplantae, Streptophyta, Magnoliopsida, Rosales, Cannabaceae. The transcript is spliced from 3 exons. The record is from RefSeq and is a predicted model, not a curated record.